Molecule: long non-coding RNA, 255 nt
Filed under: Spirodela polyrhiza (greater duckweed)
Lineage: Eukaryota; Viridiplantae; Streptophyta; Magnoliopsida; Alismatales; Araceae
Description: long non-coding RNA (SPOL_LNC001630)
Source: RNAcentral
CUAAUCCGUUGGAGGUCCUCGAUGAGAAGCAUAGAACAACGAUCUUUGCUUUAGUCAAGCUUUGGUUUCACGUGAUUACGAGCUGCUACUGUCAACUACCCAGUGGAAGCUAGCUCGAGGAGCUGUCCCCCGUAUGCAUGCAUUUCAACAGACUUGCAGGCAUUUGAAGUGUGCUGGGAUGAGACGGGAGACGUCUCAAUUCACAGCCUUAUUAUUUUUCAAUCUACGUGCUUGCUCUCGUCUUCUCCCAACGGC